RNAcentral lists this ribosomal RNA (2189 nucleotides) under Planctomycetota bacterium. Its description in RNAcentral is "partial 23S ribosomal RNA". It matches the Rfam family "Bacterial large subunit ribosomal RNA", at positions 1 to 2102 of the family's 2925-position model. The record is from RNAcentral. Lineage: Bacteria; Pseudomonadati; Planctomycetota.
GGUCAAGAUAUUAAGGGUACAUGGUGGAUGCCUAGGCGUUCAGAGGCGAUGAAGGACGUGGAUGGCUGCGAUAAGCCCCGGGGAGCUGUCAAACAAGCUUUGAUCCGGGGAUUUCCGAAUGGGGAAACCUGUCGUCACCAAAUACGUGGCGUCACUGACGCGUGAAUUCAUAGCGCGUGAGAGUCAACCCAGGGAACUGAAACAUCUCAGUACCUGGAGGAAAGGAAAUCAACCGAGACUCCGUGAGUAGCGGCGAGCGAAAGCGGAUAUAGCCCAAACCGGACCUUGUGUCCGGGGUUGUGGAGUCCUCGAGGAGUUACAAAGGCGCGGCAAGCAGAACGGCAUGGAAAGGCCGACCACAGCGGGUGACAGUCCCGUAUGCGAAAUCCGUAGCCCUCCGUUGAGAGGACCACCAGAGUAGCACGGAUGCCGUGGAACUCCGUGUGAAGCAGGGGGGCCCACCCUCCAAGGCUAAGUACUCCUGAACGACCGAUAGUGAACAAGUAUGGCGACUGAAAGGUGAAAAGUACCGCAAUAAGCGGAGUUAAAAGUACCUGAAACCAUGUAUCUACAAGCAGUCGAAGACCUAUGCCCGCCUUCGGGUGGGAAUGGUCGACGGCGUACCUUUUGCAUAAUGGACCGGCGAGUUACUCCUCUGUGGCAAGGCUAAGCCGUUCAGCGGUGGAGCCGAAGCGAAAGCGAGUCUGAAUAGGGCGAUUGAGUCGCAGGGGGUAGACCCGAAACUGAGUGAUCUACCCAUGGGCAGAAUGAAGCGUCUCUAACCGGACGCGGAGGUUCGAAGCCGUAAACGUUGAAAAGUUUUGGCAUGACCUGUGGGGAGGAGUAAAAGUCUAAUCAAACUCAGAGAUAUCUGGUUCUCCCCGAAAAUGCUCUAGGGCAUGCCUCAGGCCACUACGUUACGGGGGUAGAGCUACUGAAUGGAUCGCGGGGGCCACCAGCCUACCGCCUCCAAUCAAACUCCGAAUACCGCGACGACUACCCCGGGAGAAAGUCUGCGGGUGAUAACGUCCGUGGACAAAAGGGAAACAACCCUGACCGCCAGCUAAGGUCCCAAAUUGCCCCUGAGUGCGUAAGGACGUUGGAUUUCUAUGACAGCGGGGAUGUUGGCUUAGAAGCAGCCACCAUUUAAAAAGUGCGUAAUAGCUUACCCGUCGAGAAAUCCGGCACCGAUAAUGAACGGGACUAAGGGGCAAACCGAAGCUGCGGGAGCAGAGAAUGAUGAAUGAUGGAUUGAGGAUGUAGAGACGAGGCCCUGGGAUUUCGAUCCCGGGGCGCGUUGGGGUUCUUGGAUUCCGAUCGUUCACAAUUCUUCAUUCAUCAUUCUUUGCUCGGUAGGGGAGCGCUGUUGGGCAGAUACGAGGCGUACCGUAAGGAGCGCUGUUGGGCCCAACAGGUGCGUAUGCCGGUUUGAGUAACGAGAAAGAGGGUGAAAAUCCCUCUCGCCGUAAGCCUAAGGUUUCCUGGGGAAGGUAGAUCCGCCCAGGGUUAGUCGGAACCUAAGGCGAGGCCGAAAGGCGUAGUCGAUGGACGGCAGGUUAAUAUUCCUGCACUCCGCACUGCGAUUGAAGCGUUCGUGCGUUUUUCCUAGGCGCAGCCCACCACUAGACGCGAGGGUUCCCGAGAGGGCGAGGCCGAUUUGUUGCUGAAGUGCGUGGCGGAAGAACCGAGAAAAGCGAACGUGGACAAAGCGCGGAACCGUACUAAAACUGACACAGGUAGGCGAGGAGUGUAUCCUCAGGCGCUCGAGAGAACGGUCCUUAAGGAAUUAGGCAAAUUCACCCCGUAACUCCGGGAGAAGGGGUCCCGUCCCGCUUUGGAUUUAUCUUUUGCGGGCGGGCGCAGAGAAUCGGCAGCGGCGACUGUUUACCAAAAACACAGGACUCUGCUAACUCGCAAGAGGAUGUAUAGAGUCUGACGCCUGCUCGGUGCGGGAAUGUUAAGGAAGCAGGUUAUCGGCUUCGGCUGAGAAGCUUGCGACUGAAGCACCCGUAAACGGCGGCCCUAACUAUGAGGGUCCUAAGGUAGCGAAGUUCCUUGUCGGGUAAGUUCCGACGCGCAUGAAUGGCGAAACGACUGCUGCACUGUCUCAAGGACCGACUCGGUGAAAUAGGACUUGUGGUGAAGAUACCACAUACCCGCGGCAAGACGGAAAGACCCCGUGAACCUUU